UGCUCAGGUGGGCUUGUAAGUCAGUGGUGAAAUACUGCCGCUUAACGGUAGAACUGCCAUUGAUACCGCAAGUCUUGAGUAUGGUUGAGGUAGGCGGAAUGUGUUGUGUAGCGGUGAAAUGCAUAGAUAUGACACAGAACUCCAAUUGCGAAGGCAGCUUACUAAGCCAUUACUGACGCUGAGGCACGAAAGCGUGGGGAGCGAACAGGAUUAGAUACCCUGGUAGUCC
This 229-nucleotide ribosomal RNA is filed under the name uncultured bacterium. RNAcentral describes it as "partial 16S ribosomal RNA". It matches the Rfam family "Bacterial small subunit ribosomal RNA", at positions 568 to 796 of the family's 1533-position model. The record is from RNAcentral.